AAGUCGUAACAAGGUUUCCGUAGGUGAACCUGCGGAAGGAUCAUUAACGAAUAUCUAUGGCGUUGGUUGUAGCUGGCUCCUAGGAGCAAUGUGCACGCCCGUCAUUCAUAUCAUCUUUCCACCUGUGAACCAUGUGUAGGCCUGGAUACCCCUCGCUUUGGCAACAAAGCGGAUGCAAGGAUUGCUGCGUCGACAAGGCCGGCUCUCUUUGAAUUUCCAGGUUCUAUGUCUUUUUUACACACCCCAUUUGAAUGACUUAGAAUGUAGUCAAUGGGCUUUCAUGCCUAUAAAAAACUAUACAACUUUCAGCAACGGAUCUCUUGGCUCUC
This 329-nucleotide unclassified non-coding RNA is filed under the name Candolleomyces candolleanus. RNAcentral describes it as "Psathyrella candolleana partial internal transcribed spacer region". The stretch from base 1 to 46 matches the Rfam family "Eukaryotic small subunit ribosomal RNA", at positions 1786 to 1831 of the family's 1831-position model. Lineage: Eukaryota; Fungi; Basidiomycota; Agaricomycetes; Agaricales; Psathyrellaceae. The record is from RNAcentral.